Molecule: non-coding RNA, 74 nt
Organism: Pseudogymnoascus sp. 24MN13
Lineage: Eukaryota; Fungi; Ascomycota; Leotiomycetes; Thelebolales; Thelebolaceae
Source: Rfam
GCCUGGGUAGCUCAGAUGGUUAGAGCGCACGACUCAUAAUCGUGAGGUCGCGGGUUCGAUCCCCGCCUCGGGCU